This 495-nucleotide ribosomal RNA is filed under the name uncultured bacterium. RNAcentral's name for it is "partial 16S ribosomal RNA". It matches the Rfam family "Bacterial small subunit ribosomal RNA", at positions 28 to 507 of the family's 1533-position model. The record is from RNAcentral.
GAUGAACGCUGGCGGCGUGCCUAAUACAUGCAAGUCGAGCGAACAGACGAGGAGCUUGCUCCUCUGACGUUAGCGGCGGACGGGUGAGUAACACGUGGAUAACCUACCUAAGACUGGGAUAACUUCGGGAAACCGGAGCUAAUACCGGAUAAUAUAUUGAACCGCAUGGUUCAAUAGUGAAAGACGGUUUUGCUGUCACUUAUAGAUGGAUCCGCGCCGCAUUAGCUAGUUGGUAAGGUAACGGCUUACCAAGGCAACGAUGCGUAGCCGACCUGAGAGGGGGAUCGGCCACACUGGAACUGAAGCACGGUCCAGACUCCUACGGGAGGGAGCAGUAGGGAAUCUUCCGCAAAGGGCGAAAGCCUGACGGAGCAACGACGCGUGAGUGAUGAAGGUCUUCGGAUCGUAAAACUCUGUUAUUAGGGAAGAACAAAUGUGUAAGUAACUAUGCACGUCUUGACGGUACCUAAUCAGAAAGCCACGGCUAACUACGUG